Molecule: transfer RNA, 67 nt
Filed under: Hirtitermes hirtiventris
Lineage: Eukaryota; Metazoa; Arthropoda; Insecta; Blattodea; Termitidae
Description: tRNA-Phe
Source: RNAcentral
ACUUGAAUAGCUUAUUUUAGAGCGCGACAUUGAAGAUGUCGAUGAGGUAUUGUGUUAUCUUUGAGUG